AACGAACGCUGGCGGCAUGCCUAACACAUGCAAGUCGAACGAGACCUUUGGGUCUAGUGGCGCACGGGUGCGUAACGCGUGGGAACCUGCCCUUAGGUUCGGAAUAACUCCCCGACAGGGGUGCUAAUACCGGAUAAUGUCUUCGGACCAAAGAUUUAUCGCCUUUGGAUGGGCCCGCGUUGGAUUAGCUAGUUGGUAGGGUAAAAGCCUACCAAGGCGACGAUGCAUAGCUGGUCAGAGAGGAUGAUCAGCCACACUGGGACUGAGACGCGGCCCAGAAUCCUACGGGAGGCAGCAGUGGGGGAUGUUGGAAAGUGGGCGGAAGCAUGAUGCAGCAAUGACGGGUGAGUGAUGAAGGCCUUAGGGUUGUAAAGCGCUUUUAACCGGGAUGAUAUUGACAGUACCGAGAGAAUAAGCCCCGGCUAACUCCGUG
Molecule: ribosomal RNA, 433 nt
Filed under: uncultured bacterium
Lineage: Bacteria
Description: partial 16S ribosomal RNA
Rfam family: Bacterial small subunit ribosomal RNA
Source: RNAcentral